GCCUAUUGUGGGACCUUAUGAUCAUGCAAAAGGACUUGUAAGUAUCAUGCUCUUUCUCUUCGAAGAGCUGGAGAAAUCAGAGGCUCUGAACCUCAUGGAAGAACGCACAGGCAAACCAGGCAAAAGCUGGAGUUUCAACUGCAGUCAGCCGGCCUUCACUUUAUCUUAUGCUGCCUUUGCCCUCCAGAGAGGUUUUGUUCCCAAAAAAUCUCCGAAAGGUGCCCAGCUAUGACAUCCAGCACUUCAUUUGUUGAUUCGAAGACCUGGGUUAAAAUACCAGCUCUGCCAUUUCAUUCAAGAUUCCCCUGAAUUCACAUUUAUUGGACACUAUGGUAUGUCGAAACUGUGCUCUGAUGAGGGAAUGAAAAGCUGAAUCAGGUGUGACUACUGCUUUCAAGGUGCUGCAGACUUUAUUGUGUUUCCCCAAGUUCAUAUGUUGAAGCCAUAACCUCCAGUGUGGCUGCAUUGGCAGAUAGGGCCUCUAAGUGGGUAGUGGAGGUUACAUGUGUCAUCGGGGUGCGGCCCUGAACCAAAAGGAUUAGUGUUCUUAUAAGAAGAGAUGCCAGAAAGAAAACAAAAAGAAAAAGAAAAGAAGAAAAGACAGGCCAGGUGCAGUGGCUCUCACCUAUAAUCCCAGCACUUUGAGAAACUGAGGCAGGAGGAUUGUUCAAACCCAGGAGUUUGAGACCAGCCUGGGCAAUAUAGUAAGACCCCAUCUCUACAAAAACUUUUUAAGAAAGAAAGAAACUGGCUGGGCAUGGUGGCUCAUGCCUGUAAUCCCAGCACUUUGGGAGGCCAAGGAGGGCAGAUCACAACGUCAGGAGAUCGAGACCAUCCUGGCUAACACAGUGAAACCCCGUCUUUACUAAAAAUACAAAAACAAAAUUAGCCAAGCGUGGUGGUGCAUGCCUGUAGUCCCAGCUACUCGGGAGGCUAAGGUGGGAGAAUGGCGUGAACCCGGGAGGUGGAGCUUGCAGUGAGCUGAGAUGGUGCCACUGCACUCCACCCUGGGUGACAGAGCAAGACUCUGUCAAAAAAAAAAAAAGAAAGAGAGAGAAAGAAAGAAGAAAGAGAAAGAGAAAGAAAAAGAAAGAGAGAAAGAGAAAGAAGAAAGAAAGAAGAAAGAAAAAGAAAGAAAGAAAGAAAAAAAAAAAGAAAGAAACAAAGAAAGACAAAGAAAGAAAGACAAAAGACACCAAAGCUAAUUAUUUCUCUCCAAGAACACAUACAAAGGAAAGGUCUUGCAAGGCCAUAGCGAGAAGGUGGCAGUCUGCAAGUCAGGAAGAGAGCCCUCAUCAGAAACUGAAUCCCUGCCUACAGAAUGUGAGAUAUAAAUGUCUAUUGUUUAAGCUCCCUAUCUGUGGUACCUCAUCAUGGCAGUCUAAGCUGACUGAGACACAUGAAGAUCAGAGCUUAGAAGUAGGAACAGGCGAGUUGGGUGGGGCAGGCUGUUUUGUUUGCAGGACGUGUCUCAGCUCACAUCGGGUUGGUAGGUCUUCCUCUGCAGCUGUUGUGACCAUGAAGCAAGCAGGCCCUCAGGAACCUGGCCUUACUGCCAGGCCUCACAGGGGGAGUCGAGGGACAGGAUGGCCACUCUGUGUCCAGAACAUGGGUAACAACUAGUGAACAGGUCGAUGGGAGACUAGGGUGACAAGUGACUGGGAAGUCUGAAACUACUGAAGCCUGUGUGGGUCUACUGAAGGGAUUUGACAGGGAGACGAUAUGGUCCCAGCCAUGGAGAGGCCAGCCUGGGCUGCUCUGUGGUCCCCGAGACCCUGGCCUGAGGGUGCACCAGCCCCAGCAUCAAUCAGAUCUCAUGGUGUUUCUAGGAUUCAAGGCCCUCAUGGAGCCCCUGAAAGCAAGGCUCACUUUCCUAAGCUCUUCAAAGCUCAAGGAGCCAACGGCAGACCUGACACAUCCUGCAAUGCUCUCAGCAUGGGCCUGCUUAGCCUGCUCCCUCCUCAGCCAGUUUGCCCCAGAAACUAAAAAUAAAAUUGACAACAGAGGAGCAUUAAACAGCAAAAUCUAGCUGAGGGAGGAGCAGAGGCUUUGAACAAGGACAACUGGCACACACCGUGGUCACCUCUGGUUGUCCCGUCCUCCCUGGGCGUUGGGAGUUUAUGGAUGGAUAUUCACUGGAGCGCCUGCUCUGCCAAGAGAUAACUCAGCUUUCCUCUAAACCUCUGUGGUUUUAUCUCUUUUGUUUGUUUACUAUUUCUUCCUCCUCCCCUACAUGAGAAACAUCUCCCUGUAUCUCCAGUUCAAAUUCCCCAAAGCGAGAAUCUAAUUUGGUCUUCAGACCCUCUUUGAAGGGCUGCUGUCGUACAGGGCCAUUGGAUGGUCCUGCCAGCCUGCAAGCUGGCUGUCCUGGCUCCCAGGUAGUGACCUGUGGGCAGAGACCUUUUCCUGCAAGGGGGUGGUGAGAAUCCAGGCACACUGGGGCAAGCCUGCCCUGCCUGUAUUGGGCAGAAUGUACUCAGCUGCUCGCAAGAGAAUAGCCACAUACAAGCCGUCUCUAUUGCUGUGAGCUCAUUUUCCAUAGCAAGAAGCCUGCAGGUGGUUGGUCCUAGAACUCAGUGGCUCUGUGACCCCACAGAGGAUAUUUUUCCAUCUGCCAAGUGGCUGGACAGUAGUUGCAGCAGUUCAAUGAAUACAUCAAAUCCAAAGAUUUCCUUGAUGCUCCCCUACCCCCACCCUCAGGAGAUGUGUUGAUGUCUCUUUGACAAAAGAGAGCCACAGUCCCACCUCUAGCUGCAAGAGAAGCUGGUGGAGUGAGAAGCUGGUGUAUACAAUGUCUACAGGGGUAAGUGGAUUCUAAUGACAAGGGAGAUGAUGGAACAUUGUGUAGGCAAACGUCUGCCCUACGAAGUAAACAGUUAACUAUAGCGUGGUACUGCAAGCGCUAUAAUAAUUUGCUAAGACACUGAUAUGGUUUGGCUAUGUCCCCAACCAAAUCUCACCUUGAAGUGUAAUAAUCCCCAUGUGUCAAGGGCAGGGCCAGGUGGAGAUAAUUGAAUCAUAGGGGGCGGUUUCCCCAUACUGUUCUCAUGGUAGUGAAUAACUCUCACGAGAUCUGAUGCUUUUAUAAAGGGGAGUUCCCCUGCCCAAGCUCUCUUGCCUGCCUUCAUGUAAGACGUGACUUUGCUCCUCAUUCGCCUUCAGCCAUGAACGUGAGGCCUCCCCAGCCAUGUGGAUGUGAGUUCAUUAAACCUUUUUCCUUUAUAAAUUAUGCAGUCUCGGGUAUGUCUUUAUUAACAGUGUGAGAACAGACUGAUACAGACACUUUUUGGGAUAAGUCACAUAACCUCUUCGAGGCUCAGAUUCCUAAAAUGAAAAAUGAAAAUGAUAGUACUUACAUCACAGAGGUGUUGUACAGAUUAAUAUGAAAUAAUGUAUAAGAAAGUCUCUAUUUCAAUACUUAAUAGGUAAUAAACGCACCUUGGCUCCUUCCUCCCCAUCAACUACAGGGUAAAUGUGCAAUAAAUACUUGCUAACCAAAUAAACAUUGCUUAUCUGGAA
Homo sapiens (human) is the source of this 3519-nucleotide long non-coding RNA. RefSeq lists it as uncharacterized. NCBI's taxonomy places the organism in Eukaryota, Metazoa, Chordata, Mammalia, Primates, Hominidae. The record is from RefSeq and is a predicted model, not a curated record. The transcript is spliced from 3 exons.